RNAcentral lists this ribosomal RNA (467 nucleotides) under uncultured bacterium. RNAcentral's name for it is "partial 16S ribosomal RNA". It matches the Rfam family "Bacterial small subunit ribosomal RNA", at positions 28 to 506 of the family's 1533-position model. The record is from RNAcentral.
GACGAACGCUGGCGGCGUGCUUAACACAUGCAAGUCGAACGGAAAGGCCCUGCUUUUGUGGGGUGCUCGAGUGGCGAACGGGUGAGUAGCACGUGAGUAACCUGCCCUUGACUUUGGGAUAACUUCAGGAAACUGGGGCUAAUACCGGAUAGGAGCUCCUGCUGCAUGGUGGGGGUUGGAAAGUUUCGGCGGUUGGAGAUGGACUCGCGGCUUAUCAGCUUGUUGGUGGGGUAGUGGCUUACCAAGGCUUUGACGGGUAGCCGGCCUGAGAGGGUGACCGGCCCCAUUGGGACAGAGAUACGGCCCGGACGCUUACGGGAGGCAGGGGGGGGAAAUUUUGCGCAAGGGGCGGAGGCUAGAGGAAGCACCCCCGGGGGGGGGAUGACGGCCUUCGGGUGGGAACCGCUUUUCGCCUGUGAGGAAGCGGGGGGAGGGGAAAUGGGGAAAAAGCCACCGGUUAACUAGGG